UCUCACUUACAUGUUACUGUAUUGCAGCAGGCUGGAUUCCAGGGAUGCAGACCAUGAGGCCUUUCUAGCAUGGCGGCUGUCAGAGAGCGUGUAGUGUCCUGGGUGGAGGAACGACUGGGGACUUCCAGAGGUGCAGCAGGAGCUUUGUGGAUACAGGCGCGACGGAUGGUGCGUCGCAAUAGGCCGCCACAAAGAUUGAGCCCUGGGGAUGAUCAAGGACCACGCCGGAGGAUCCCUUCCUUGCAGCACCCAGUUUCCAGGAUGAAGAGUGGAGGUGGCCAGGCGCUGAUUCGUUGCGGUCGUGGAAGGAGUUCCGGUGUGGCCACACGCCAUGGCAGCGGCUGGCAGGACUUCUCAGAACACGGUUGCAGUAGGUCCCCAAACCUCUGGGAGCAGGACAACAUGGCUACGGUGGGCCCCCAGUUUCCUCUGGGCGCUGCCGGGAGGGAGCAGCAGGACACAGGCCUGGCUAUGCAGGGUGAGUCAGUUCCAGGGGCCUGCAGGGACCUUGAGGACACUGUUGGUGAGUUGGAGGCUGGGGGGACCAUUUCACAGUCAGGAUCUUCCUAGGGUGCUGCAGCCAGCAAGGGUUUGGACAACAGGAUUAUGUUGGCACCCUUAGACUUCCA
Pelobates cultripes (western spadefoot toad) is the source of this 629-nucleotide non-coding RNA. Lineage: Eukaryota; Metazoa; Chordata; Amphibia; Anura; Pelobatidae. The record is from the annotation of a GenBank genome assembly.